This 996-nucleotide ribosomal RNA is filed under the name Bacillus paralicheniformis. Its description in RNAcentral is "bacterial SSU rRNA". It matches the Rfam family "Bacterial small subunit ribosomal RNA", at positions 81 to 1061 of the family's 1533-position model. The record is from RNAcentral. Lineage: Bacteria; Bacillati; Bacillota; Bacilli; Caryophanales; Bacillaceae.
CCUCCCUGAAGUCAGCGCCGGACGGGUGACUAACACGUGGGUAACCCGCCUGUAAGACUUGGAUAACUUCGGGAAAACGGGGCUAAUACCGGAUGCUUGAUUGAACCGCCUGGUUCAAUUAUAAAAGGUGGGUUUUAGCUACCACUUACAGAUGGACGCGCGGCGCAUUAGCUAGUUGGUGAGGUAACGGCUCACCAAGGCGACGAUGCGUAGCCGACCUGAGAGGGUGAUCGGCCACACUGGGACUGAGACACGGCCCAGACUCCUACGGGAGGCAGCAGUAGGGAAUCUUCCGCAAUGGACGAAAGUCUGACGGAGCAACGCCGCGUGAGUGAUGAAGGUUUUCGGAUCGUAAAACUCUGUUGUUAGGGAAGAACAAGUACCGUUCGAAUAGGGCGGUACCUUGACGGUACCUAACCAGAAAGCCACGGCUAACUACGUGCCAGCAGCCGCGGUAAUACGUAGGUGGCAAGCGUUGUCCGGAAUUAUUGGGCGUAAAGCGCGCGCAGGCGGUUUCUUAAGUCUGAUGUGAAAGCCCCCGGCUCAACCGGGGAGGGUCAUUGGAAACUGGGGAACUUGAGUGCAGAAGAGGAGAGUGGAAUUCCACGUGUAGCGGUGAAAUGCGUAGAGAUGUGGAGGAACACCAGUGGCGAAGGCGACUCUCUGGUCUGUAACUGACGCUGAGGCGCGAAAGCGUGGGGAGCGAACAGGAUUAGAUACCCUGGUAGUCCACGCCGUAAACGAUGAGUGCUAAGUGUUAGAGGGUUUCCGCCCUUUAGUGCUGCAGCAAACGCAUUAAGCACUCCGCCUGGGGAGUACGGUCGCAAGACUGAAACUCAAAGGAAUUGACGGGGGCCCGCACAAGCGGUGGAGCAUGUGGUUUAAUUCGAAGCAACGCGAAGAACCUUACCAGGUCUUGACAUCCUCUGACAACCCUAGAGAUAGGGCUUCCCCUUCGGGGGCAGAGUGACAGGUGGUGCAUGGUGUCGUCAGCUC